RNAcentral lists this transfer RNA (64 nucleotides) under Alaria americana. RNAcentral's name for it is "tRNA-Asn". It matches the Rfam family "tRNA". Rfam says of the family: Transfer RNA (tRNA) molecules are approximately 80 nucleotides in length. Their secondary structure includes four short double-helical elements and three loops (D, anti-codon, and T loops). Further hydrogen bonds mediate the characteristic L-shaped molecular structure. tRNAs have two regions of fundamental functional importance: the anti-codon, which is responsible for specific mRNA codon recognition, and the 3' end, to which the tRNAs corresponding amino acid is attached (by aminoacyl-tRNA synthetases). tRNAs cope with the degeneracy of the genetic code in two manners: having more than one tRNA (with a specific anti-codon) for a particular amino acid; and 'wobble' base-pairing, i.e. permitting non-standard base-pairing at the 3rd anti-codon position. Lineage: Eukaryota; Metazoa; Platyhelminthes; Trematoda; Diplostomida; Diplostomidae. The record is from RNAcentral.
GUCUGUGUAGAUUAAGUUAGAUUAUAAGGCUGUUAACCUUAAGGUAUUAUUUUUUUUGCGGACG